This 293-nucleotide ribosomal RNA is filed under the name uncultured microorganism. Its description in RNAcentral is "partial 16S ribosomal RNA". It matches the Rfam family "Bacterial small subunit ribosomal RNA", at positions 505 to 796 of the family's 1533-position model. The record is from RNAcentral.
GUGCCAGCAGCCGCGGUAAUACGAAGGGGGGCUAGCGUUGCUCGGAAUCACUGGGCGUAAAGGGUGCGUAGGCGGGUCUUUAAGUCAGGGGUGAAAUCCUGGAGCUCAACUCCAGAACUGCCUUUGAUACUGAAGAUCUUGAGUCCGGGAGAGGUGAGUGGAACUGCGAGUGUAGAGGUGAAAUUCGUAGAUAUUCGCAAGAACACCAGUGGCGAAGGCGGCUCACUGGCCCGGUACUGACGCUGAGGCACGAAAGCGUGGGGAGCAAACAGGAUUAGAUACCCUGGUAGUCC